RNAcentral lists this unclassified non-coding RNA (6469 nucleotides) under Helicoverpa zea (corn earworm). RNAcentral's name for it is "e3 ubiquitin-protein ligase SH3RF1, transcript variant X2". Lineage: Eukaryota; Metazoa; Arthropoda; Insecta; Lepidoptera; Noctuidae. The record is from RNAcentral.
GUGAUAGUCGCUUGCUCCCGCCCCCGCUUCGUCGUCCGGUCGAACGAAGAAACGGCGAGAAUGGCAUUUGUGCGUGAAAUUGUAUCAGUUUUUGUGUGAACAACUGCAAAUUUCUCACAACAGCAACUUCACCCUCCGACCUUUAGUUCGCUGGUGUAAUUAUCCCUUCACAGUGUUAAACUAUGUGCCGUUUUAAAUAGUUUAGUGGCGAAGAAUUUUUGUGUGACUGGUUUGGGGUGGUAUCCCGUAGAUUUUGUUUCAUUGUGCUUAGCAAUAAUGGUCAGACUUCCCGCUAACAUCGUUGGAAUUUAAAACAUUCGUGCCCCAACCGGCAUGGAUGAAGGUUUACUCAACGAUCUCCUCGAGUGCUCCGUUUGUUUGGAGCGACUCGACACCUCGUCUCGGGUCCUGCCGUGCCAGCAUACCUUCUGCCUCAAAUGCUUGAAGGUGAUUAUAGAAUCUCACAAGGAGCUCCGAUGUCCAGAAUGCAGGGUCCUGGUGGAAGCGAAGGUGGAGGAGCUGCCUCCAAAUGUCCUCCUCAUGAGGAUCCUAGAGGGCAUGAAGAACUCCGCCCCGAGGAAAAUGGUAACUGGACAACGGACUUCGAGAAGCGGUGGACAUUCACAGGCUCUACAAGGCGUUCAAGGCGGUAAGCAGUUGCCGCCUCACGCGAGGGCCCUCUACGACUUUAUAUCGAAGGAGCCCGGGGACCUCUCGUUCAAGAAAGGUGAAACAAUAUUGAUACAGAAGAAAUUGGACCCGUUUUGGUAUCAGGGAGAAUGUUCCGGCCGAACUGGCAUGUUCCCCAUCACUUAUGUACAGGUGGUAGUACCUCUCCCGGUGGCUACAGCGUUAUGCAAAGCGUUGUACGACUUCCGCAUGUCCGCCCCCGACGAGGAAGGAUGUUUGGCGUUUGACAAGGGGGCAAUUAUAACGGUGCAUCGUCGUGUCGACGACAACUGGGCGGAGGGUCGGCUGGACCAACGCGUCGGCAUCUUCCCCAUCGCUUUCGUGGAGCUCAACCAAGCGGCUAGGCAGCUCAUGAACAGUGUACCGUUGAACCGACCGGUGCCGCCCAUACCCGAACACUCCCGACCAUCGCACUCGGAACACAGGCAUCAUGCACAGCAACACUCGCACCGUUACCAACCGAUGUCUAUGUCUACCCCCUCCACCGUGCAGAGUAACUACCAAAACAUGGCCGCCAUGAGUCAGUCGCAUCCCAACUACCAUCCCGCGCAGACGCAGCCGCAGAUACUGCUGCCCCAGCCCAUCAACCAGCACGUCACCGUCUCCCACGGAGGCCUCGUCACCACCACCGCCGUACCCAGAAACAUCAUGGAACCACAAACCAAACACUCGCUAGACCUCAUACAAUUCACUAACAUGCACAACAAAGGACACCAAACUAUGGGCAUACAAAACGUAUCCAGAAUCGGAGAAAAUUACGACAGAUUACGAACAGUCAAAUACGACAGCUACAACUCAACGCCAGUUCAUAAAGUUGAAACUACGUACCAAAAUGUGAGGACCCACGAACAUUUUCCUGUUUCCGGCGCCAAUUUCAAUACUAGUAAUGUCAGUUCGGAUUCUAGUUCGAGCAUGAACACGCCGUCUGUCGGCGUUAGUUCAACAACGACUCCAAACACAAGUUCCAAUACAAGUACCUGUGAAAGCGCUGAACCGAGCCUUCCCAGUUCCCCCGAUAAUAAUACAGAGCGAAAUGCAACCGUAAUCGCUUCUAAUACGACUCAAAAUCCCUCACAAAAUCAAAUCAAUCAAUCCCAAACAGAGGAAGAAACGAACAACGACGAGUCUCUUAACACUUCAAUGGGAGUGCUGAGUUUGAACGAAAGUUCUACGGCAACGAACACGUCUCUGAAUGUCAGUUUACCGCCGUCAGAGAGUCCAAAAUUGAAUGCUUCGAGUGGAAGCAAUACGUGUCAAAACCAGGAAGAAAAUCAAGAAGCUGCAAGCAAUAAUGAUUCUAACAGACUGGAUGCUCCUUCGUCUAGUAAGAAUUUGCGUUCUAGUGGACCGGAGUCGUUGAAUUUUGGUUUAGGCUUGCAAGCGGCAUUGUCCCCUUCGCAUGGGAAGGAUGGAAACUACAUGGUGAAUAGAGCCCAUAGAGAACACCACCACAGAGAACGGGAAAAGAGACACAGCUUGACACCUUCCACGCAUUUGCAAGGGAAUCAUAACACGCAAAAUAGGCACUCGGCAGAAAUUCUAGCAACCAGUCUGCUGGACUCGGGCCCGGCGGAGCGAGGCGAGCGCGCGGAGCGAGGCGAGCGCGCGGAGCGAGGCGAGCGCGCGGAGCGGCGGCGGCGACGCUCGCGCAGCAACGAGCGGCCGCUGCCCGCCGCCUACGUCGCCAUCUACCCCUACAAGCCCUGCAAGCCCGACGAGCUCGAGCUCAAGAAAGGAGGUAUCUACACGGUGACGGAGCGGUGCCGCGACGGCUGGUACAAGGGCAGCUCGGAGCGGUCGCAGCGGGCCGGAGUGUUCCCCGGCAACUACGUCGCCCCCGCACACCAUCUGCGCCCUAAGCAUGACAAGGCUGCGCCGGCGGCUGUAUCGUCAGUGCCGGCAGCGGCAGCAGCGGGCGCCGGCAGCGCGGGCGCCGGCAGCGCGGCCCCCGACGCGCCGCCCCGCGCGAGGGACGCCGCGCCCGCCACGCUGUUACUCGCUCAACCGCUCACCUACCCUUGGAGUUCGCCGGCGCAGUCACAACAAAAUACACCCAGAUCUGAAAAGCCAAAAGAGAAAGCGAAAACGGAAAAGUCUUCAAUCUCAACGGGUGUGAGUUUGAUGAAACGUUUAGCGGCCAUGAAGAAAUGCAAGUCGCCUCCGCCGGCCGGCUAUAGUAUGGACAACCCGGUGUUCGAAGACGGACCCGGGACAUCCCUCAUGCUGACCUUGAACACGCAGCAACAUCACCCUGUACAUGUCAGAGCCAGCACGGAAAACCCUUGGCAGACCCAACACAGAAAAUCGCAGUCGCUAGACGUGACCGCUUCCAGGCGAGACAGACAUCAUACGCAACCGAACAAAGAGAGAUUCCGCUGUAUAGUACCCUAUCCGCCUAACUCUGAAUACGAGUUGGAACUCAAAGUGGAUGAUAUAGUGAUUGUUUCGAAAAAGCGAGGCGAUGGCUGGUACAAAGGUACCCUACAAAGGACUGGUCGUACCGGCCUAUUUCCCGCCUCAUUUGUACAAAGCUGUCCGCCCGAAUGACAAAGGCCUACACCUUCGAGGUUCGGAACUCUAUUUUAGUACAUAAAAGUGAUGGGAACAGGUGAUUAAAGUAAAGGCCCAAUAUAUAGCUCCUAUAUUCUAAAACACGGCAUUAUUUUUUAAUUGAGUGAGAUCUGUUAGUUAACUUGUCUAUGCGUAAAUUAUAUAUGGUCGUAUUGCAUUGUGAAAUAUACUUGCUUGUUUUCAGUGAUCAAAUGUCGGAAUAAACAAUAUUCACCGUAAAACAAAAAUGAAUUAUUCAUCUUUUUUAACGAUUGCGUUUUUUAACUAAUAUGUAAACAAACGUAUUAGACAAAUUAGCUUGCAAAUUCGCUCAGCACUUGAUUUCCUAUAUACAUUACUUAUUUAUGUAUACUUUUUUAAGUAUAAUUUUCAAUUUCAUGAAGAAUAUUGUCUUAGUUUCUUUCAGUCUUACUGGUCUCAAAAUUCGGUCACAUUUUUUUUGGUUUUAGGCAGCUAAAAGCUAUCGAAAAUAUCGAAACUAGAUUUGUGUUAUAAAGAAACGAAACUAAGGAUACCUGAAUUUUUUUUCUUAAGUGGAAUGAAAUAAAUUUUGUUUUAAAGGUAAAUACAACUAUACAUUGUAUAGUAUGGAUUUUGUUAAGGGUUUUGAUACGAAUUACUUACAUUCAAUGUUUAGAUUUUCAAAAUGUCACAAAAUAAUACUUUUUAAAAAUAUGAAUGCCCAUAAGUAUGGCAGUUUUAGAAUAUUCUUCGUUUUUUAUUAUUAAUCAACUCAGAAUUUAAAAUUUCACAAUUAUAAUAGAUUUCUUCCUACAUAUUUAUGUCACAAUAGAUAAGACGAACAUGUUGAAACGUAUGUGCUAAUACUCAUGAACCUUUUUACUUUUAAUUCACAAUUUUUACAUUUUUGGUCUAAACUUUAUUAUUGUAUUUCUAAAAUCAUUAUGACUGAACCUAACUGCCGACUCUAUGUGUAAAUAUACUUCAAUUAUUAUUUAAAAUGUUAUUUUUUUUAAUCAAACAAUGUGGGCCAAAUAAAGAGUCCAUGAUAAAAAAAGUAUUUUUGUAGUAUUAAAAUAAAAAUGAUGAUAAUAUUAAAGUUGUGUGGCGUGUAUAUUCUGAUCUUAAUUUAGAUGUAUAGCUGUUAUUAGUGAAUUGGUGUUUGUCAAUUAGAGACAUAAUAAACUUUAUGAUUAAAGUUAUUUUUGAUGACAAAUUAUUUUGUUAUUUUUAGUACAAGUUUGAUUUAUUUUUCGUGCAUCGGUUUAAUGAUUCAUAUUGUAUCAUGUUUUUUUUUUUGUUGUUAAUUCAAUUUCUGUAGUAGAAAUGAACUUGCCACUUUUUUUUACUUUCUCAUGUCUCUAGUUUUAAAACACUCUUAGCUUUAAACACCCUCGCGCGCAUGGAAACUGCAUCGAAUAGUUUUACAAACAUACUUCAACUAGCCAUAAUAAUAUUGAAGGAAAUAUUAAAAAUACUAGUACCAGUAUACUUGCAAACAAAUUCAAUAUUUUGAGCUUAACACAACUUACCCUUAGUAAACUAAAAUAGUGUUAUUUUUAAAUAUAAUUUUACAAUUAAACUUUAGGAUUCAAUAUACGCUUACUAUUUUUUAACAUUAUUAUAUUAUUUUUGUUUUAGGACACUGCCAUAUUAUCGUUUUCUAUACCUUUGAUUUUCAUUUUGAUAUUAGUUUUAAGUACUAUACAUGACUUCAAGGAAUAGGGUAGUUACAUAUUUUAACUAAGAAAAUGUUUGAUUGAACUAUUUAUAUAGUAAAUAGUAAUUUAUAAAAAAAAUGUUUUACUUUGGGUUUUAAAUAAAAUUUUGAUGAAAUUAAGACUGUAUGAUACCUUAGUUUUUAGUAUGUAAUGUUAAUAGGUAUCAUCUGGUAAUAUUAUAAGUAUAUUUAACCAUUUUCGGAAAACUUGUUUUUGCUAAUAAGUUAUAAGAUAAAUAUUUGAAAAUGUUCGUUGUUGUACCCAUUUUUGUGGUCUGAUGUGUGUUAACUUAGUAAGAUGAAUUUUUACCUGAAUUUAUAUUCGUUCGAGAUUUAGCGAUGUUUGGUGUUGACAAAGAUGUUAUAUUUAUCAUCACUACAAGUUUACUGCAACUUAGAUAGAUAAAUUUUAUGCAGAAAUCUCUCGGAAUUGUUUUAGCCUAAUUGAAUUGUCUAACUAGAAUACAAAUAACCCAUUAUUUAAGAAAUAUUCCAAAUUCAAAAAGUUUUCAUAGAUAUUGUACCUACCUAGUAGCUGGAUUCCAAAUUCAAAUAAGCAUGGUAGUGUUUUUUUUUUAAAUUAUAAUUGUAAUUUUACCAUCAGUCCACGAUCGAAAUGGUGUAUAAAAAUGGUCUUGAUUUUUAUCUAUGGAACAACAGCUCAACUGCCCUCUGGGUGUAGUUUUAGCACUAUAUAGUUAAUAUAGGAACAAUUGUACAUUCGAUGUCUUCUAUCUAUUUGUAUAAAGAGAAGUGCAUGAAACAGGUAUAUUAGCCCGUUAGUUUAGGUAAACUCGUUUGUUUGAUAUUUUAAUACGAUAUAGGAGAUCGCACUGUUGAUUUGUAGCGAAUUGUUUUCUAGAUUUGUAUUACGACACUAUAUGAACAUUUUUUAGUUUUACUUCUGAACUGUUUUUUAAAUGACUUUCUCGAACAUUCUUUUUGAAAUGUUUAUUAAAAAGUGAAUUAUAAUUUAACAUAUACCCAGUUGUAAGCAUAUCGUCAUUGUGUCGUAAUAUAAAUUAUAAAUUGAGGAGUGUAAAUACACUAUUCCUAAAUAGUGAACAUUGAUUGUUCACGAAACUUGUUGUGAACUGAUUUAAAACGUAUUUAUUUUAUUUGAUAAUGUGUACUUUUAGUUGUAGUACCUUUUACAACGAAAUUUGUUCAAUGCUCUUCUCUGAAAAUGGGACACAAAUGUUGAUGCUCUAGGAAAAAUAUAUUUUAUUGAAGUGGCAGCAACAUUCGAUCAAUUAUUUAUUGAAAAUUUUAAGUAAUUAUUUUUUUAACUGCCGAUGUCUUUCCUUGGUAUUUUUAUUGUACUAUCAACUACUAAAUAGUGAACAUACCUUAUUGGUUUGACAGUUGAGUUUAUGCGAUGUACCCACCAAGUGACUCUUUGAUCAAAGUGGAGCAAUUUGUGUCCAUAUUGUUUUGUAUUGUGCGCUUCUAUUGUAAAUUUUAAGUGAAUCAUAUCGAAGUUAUAAUUAGGUGAUUUCGAAAAGAAUUAAAAUUUCUUCUUAACAA